Molecule: ribosomal RNA, 253 nt
Filed under: uncultured bacterium
Lineage: Bacteria
Description: partial 16S ribosomal RNA
Rfam family: Bacterial small subunit ribosomal RNA
Source: RNAcentral
UACGAAGGGGGCUAGCGUUGCUCGGAAUUACUGGGCGUAAAGCGCACGUAGGCGGCUUUCUAAGUCGGGGGUGAAAUCCUGGAGCUCAACUCCAGAACUGCCUUCGAUACUGGAAAGCUCGAGUCCGGGAGAGGUGAGUGGAACUGCGAGUGUAGAGGUGAAAUUCGCAGAUAUUCGCAAGAACACCAGUGGCGAAGGCGGCUCACUGGCCCGGUACUGACGCUGAGGUGCGAAAGCGUGGGGAGCAAACAGG